Non-coding RNA from Ictidomys tridecemlineatus (thirteen-lined ground squirrel), 995 nucleotides. The record is from RefSeq and is a predicted model, not a curated record. NCBI's taxonomy places the organism in Eukaryota, Metazoa, Chordata, Mammalia, Rodentia, Sciuridae.
AGGAUUGAACCAGUGCUCUACGUCAGUGCUCUACCACUGGGCUCUAACCCUAGCCUGAUGUUUUCACUUUUAAAGAUGAGAGAACAGAAGGCCCUCGGCCACCCAGUACCUUGAUGGCAGUGUGGGCCGGGACGGCAGACAGCUGGAUGUCUACUUAGAAUUCUCUUCAACUGCAUGAAUCAUGGUUGCUCUCUCAAGCUUCAUACUCUCUAAUUUGACUAUCAGAACUACAUCCUGGAGGAUCAUUUGGGCCAUGUGGAUUCUGUCUUGAUCACUCCAUUGAAGUGUCACCCUUUUUGCCUUGACCGAGGUUUGGCUGUGCCUAAAAUUCUAGAGCUGCUGUGAUUUCUCUGCGAGCAGUCGUAGUCUAGGUUGUACCAUGGUAGGAGUCCACACAUGAGAUUCCUCCUCAUUCCAGUGGCCCCCAGGACCACGCGACAUAUGGACUACCAGGACGCAUGCUCUUCUCUAACCUCCUGCCAGAGAAUCCCUGGCAGAGAGCAAGGAAAAAAAACUCACUUUCCCCAGCUGUCAGAGGGUCCUCUGUGCAUGCCAUGCUUAAUAAAGGCAAUAAAAAGGCAAGACUAUGAAGAAGAAAGAGGCUUACCAAGGAAUGAAGGCUCUUUAUUUGCUCUUCUUUCAUGCUACUCUUUCGAAUCCACUGGCAUUUCAACCUGUAAGUGGUGAGUGGCAGGCUGUAACAGAAGAGCAAGUGGGGGGCAGAUGGUUUAGGAAAUGAAUUUGCAAUGUCCCCAGUGUUGUUGUACUCUUUUGUUAGAAACUCACUUAUUUUUAGCUAGUUCUCAAAAAAGCAGAACUGCUUCUUGGUCUUUGAGGGCCAGCCAACAUGGUAUGGCAGCUACUUGGGGUCGGGGCUCCGGGGCUCUGUGUGGAUCUCUUUGAUGGGUGGCGCCCAGCUGAUGUGCAUAUUUUGCCUUUUGAGUACACAACUGGGCACACUGUGGGCACCAAAUAAAUAAAGAUUCCUUUAUAAA